CACGGGUGAGUAACGCGUAUGCAACUUGCCUAUCAGAGGGGGAUAACCCGGCGAAAGUCGGACUAAUACCGCAUGAAGCAGGGAUCCCGCAUGGGAAUAUUUGCUAAAGAUUCAUCGCUGAUAGAUAGGCAUGCGUUCCAUUAGGCAGUUGGCGGGGUAACGGCCCACCUAGUCUUCGAUGGAUAGGGGUUCUGAGAGGAAGGUCCCCCACAUUGGAACUGAGACACGGUCCAA
Molecule: ribosomal RNA, 234 nt
Filed under: uncultured bacterium
Lineage: Bacteria
Description: partial 16S ribosomal RNA
Rfam family: Bacterial small subunit ribosomal RNA
Source: RNAcentral